GCGUCUCAAUUUCACUCGAACUUAUGAUUUCUCAAGGGCCUUUUGGUCAUUUCAUUAUGCACGUUUUUAUUUUCUAAACCUAUGUUUUAAACAUCUUUGGUAGCCACCAGAGGCAGAUUAUCUUUUAUCUUUUGAUCGAUUGAGAAAUACACAAAAACUCUCUGGAGAAGUUCAUCUCUUGGAUUUUGAUUGUUAUGUUCUUGUGUUAUUGUUGAUUUCUUAUCUAUUUCUCUACAUGAUUAAUCUGAAAUCCAAUAUGGGUUUAAGAGGAAUCAUGGAGAUUAGUGAGUAAUCACUUUGUGAAUUCAUGGGUUAGGG
This 318-nucleotide long non-coding RNA is filed under the name Brassica rapa (field mustard). Its description in RNAcentral is "long non-coding RNA (BRAP_LNC007654)". Lineage: Eukaryota; Viridiplantae; Streptophyta; Magnoliopsida; Brassicales; Brassicaceae. The record is from RNAcentral.